UUUAUACGGAGAGUUUGAUCCUGGCUCAGGACGAACGCU
Molecule: ribosomal RNA, 39 nt
Filed under: Halanaerobium salsuginis
Lineage: Bacteria; Bacillati; Bacillota; Clostridia; Halanaerobiales; Halanaerobiaceae
Description: 16S rRNA. Bacterial SSU
Source: RNAcentral